AUGAACGCUGGCGGCGUGCCUAAUACAUGCAAGUCGAGCGAACAGACGAGGAGCUUGCUCCUCUGACGUUAGCGGCGGACGGGUGAGUAACACGUGGAUAACCUACCUAUAAGACUGGGAUAACUUCGGGAAACCGGAGCUAAUACCGGAUAAUAUAUUGAACCGCAUGGUUCAAUAGUGAAAGACGGUUUUGCUGUCACUUAUAGAUGGAUCCGCGCCGCAUUAGCUAGUUGGUAAGGUAACGGCUUACCAAGGCAAGGAUGCGUAGCCGACCUGAGAGGGUGAUCGGCCACACUGGAACUGAGACACGGUCCAGACUCCUACGGGAGGCAGCAGUAGGGAAUCUUCCGCAAUGGGCGAAAGCCUGACGGAGCAACGCCGCGUGAGUGAUGAAGGUCUUCGGAUCGUAAAACUCUGUUAUUAGGGAAGAACAAAUGUGUAAGUAACUAUGCACGUCUUGACGGUACCUAAUCAGAAAGCCACGGCUAACUACGUG
This 496-nucleotide ribosomal RNA is filed under the name uncultured bacterium. Its description in RNAcentral is "partial 16S ribosomal RNA". It matches the Rfam family "Bacterial small subunit ribosomal RNA", at positions 29 to 507 of the family's 1533-position model. The record is from RNAcentral.